Molecule: non-coding RNA, 30 nt
Filed under: Homo sapiens (human)
Lineage: Eukaryota; Metazoa; Chordata; Mammalia; Primates; Hominidae
Source: RNAcentral
UGGGGCCACGUGAGCGAAAUCCCAGGGAGC